AGGACGAACGCUGGCGGCGUGCCUAACACAUGCAAGUCGAACGAGGUCCAACCGGUAGCAAUACCGGUGAAGACCAAGUGGCGAACGGGUGAGUAGCACGUGAGCAACCUGCCCCGAAGACCGGGACAACACCGGGAAACCGGUGCUAAUACCGGAUAUCCCCACCGAGUCGCAUGGCUUGGUGAGGAAAUGGAUUCCGCUUCGGGAGGGGCUCGCGGCCUAUCAGCUUGUUGGUGAGGUAACGGCUCACCAAGGCUUCGACGGGUAGCUGGUCUGAGAGGACGAUCAGCCACACUGGGACUGAGACACGGCCCAGACUCCUACGGGAGGCAGCAGUGGGGAAUCUUGCACAAUGGGCGAAAGCCUGAUGCAGCAACGCCGCGUGAGGGACGAAGGCUUUCUGAGUUGUAAACCUCUUUCAGCAGGGACGAUUGUGACGGUACCUGCAGAAGAAGCCCCGGCAACUACGUGCCAGCAGCCGC
Molecule: ribosomal RNA, 482 nt
Filed under: uncultured bacterium
Lineage: Bacteria
Description: SSU rRNA
Rfam family: Bacterial small subunit ribosomal RNA
Source: RNAcentral